RNAcentral lists this ribosomal RNA (253 nucleotides) under uncultured bacterium. RNAcentral's name for it is "partial 16S ribosomal RNA". It matches the Rfam family "Bacterial small subunit ribosomal RNA", at positions 524 to 776 of the family's 1533-position model. The record is from RNAcentral.
UACAGAGGGGGCAAGCGUUGUUCGGAAUUACUGGGCGUAAAGGGCGCGUAGGUGGCCUUCUAAGUUGAACGUGAAAUCCCUGGGCUCAACCCAGGAACUGCGUCCAAGACUGGGAGGCUUGAAUCCGGGAGAGGGAUGCGGAAUUCCAGGUGUAGCGGUGAAAUGCGUAGAUAUCAGGAGGAACACCGGUGGCGAAGGCGCACAUCUGGCCCGAUACUGACGCUGAGGCGCGAAAGCUAGGGGAGCAAACGGG